Macaca fascicularis (crab-eating macaque) is the source of this 3128-nucleotide long non-coding RNA. Lineage: Eukaryota; Metazoa; Chordata; Mammalia; Primates; Cercopithecidae. The record is from Ensembl.
AUGUCUUGGUGGUUCCAUGCUGUGAGAAGAGUCUGUGUCAUGCAAAUUAGCAGCCUUUUCUUUUCUCCCAGGAGCACCCUUCAAGGAGAAUUAGACAAAUUGGAGUCUACUCGGAAGAGGCUGUUGGGAAUGGCCCUGACACCACAUCCUGACAGGGAUGGCCGAUGGAAUGGGGAGAAGACUCAGAAAAUGCCAUCCUGUCUUAACCUGCUGAAGAGAAAGAAGAAAGGGGACUGUGGGUGUAUUCGGGCUAAAGUAAUAAUUAGGGAGACAGGAGCAUUCUGGGGCCAGGCAAGGUGAGAGCAGUGGAAUUCAAAUUUUCAGAGCCCCAGGGGACUCAUGAAGGAUGGAUGGGAGGAAAAGGACGGCAAGAGGUAGGCCAAUUGCUGUCAUGAGGAAGAGUAAAAUUCUUAAGUCAAAAUCAAAAUAAAGACUGGGUGUGGUGGCUCAUGCCUGUAAUCCUAGCACUUUGGGAGGCCCAGGUGGGAGGAUCACUUGAGCCCAGGAGUUUGAAUCCAGCCUGGGCAACAAAGUGAGAUCCCCAUCUCUACAAAAAAGUAAAAAUUAGCUGGGCAUUGUAGCACACACUUGUAGUCCCAGCUACUCAGGAGGCUAAGGCUAGAGGAUUGCUUGAGCCUAGGAGGUUGAGGCUGCAGUGAGCCGUGAUCAAGCCGCUGCACUCUAGCCUGGACAACAGAGUGAGGCUCUGUCUCAGAAAAGAAAAAACAACAACAACAAAAAGAAAACUGUGUUGUUCUCUGAUUACAGAAGUGAAACUUUUAUAAAAUAUGAGGAAAACAAAAGCACUGAAUAAAUAUCUCUCUAAUGGUAGUGAUAGUCCCCGUUAAUAGUAUAUUAAUUGUAUAUUUUAUUAAUUUUGUUUAUACUUGUAUAUGUAUACAUGUAUAUGUAACACCUGUUUUUUUUUACUUUAAAAUGUAUUAUGAACCUUUCCCCGUGUCAUUAAGUACUCUUUUUUUUUUUUUUUUUUGAGACAGGGUCUCACUCUGUCACUCAGGCUGGAGUGUAGUAGGACAGUUAUAGCUCACCGCAGCCUUGACCUCCCAGGCUCGAGUGAUUCUCCCCCCUUAGCCUCCCAAAUAGCUGCGACCACAGGUAUGUGCCAGCAUACACAGAGAAUUUUUGUAUUUCUUCUAGAGAUGGGGUUUCACCAUCUGGUCUUGAACUCCUGGGCUCAAGCAAUCCUGCCUUGGCCUCCCAAAGUGCUGGGAUUACAGGCGUGAGGCACUGUGCCCUGCCUUUAAGUAUUCUUUUAAAAUAGGAUUUGUAAUUAUUGUGAUUAGAUGGCAUUUCAUCCUAUGGGUAUGCUGUAAUUUAAUUCAACCAGUCCUCUUUUGUUGGACAUUUAGGUUUAAUCAAGGUUUGUUUGUGAUAGGCAGUGUUACUAUAAACAUCUGUAAUCAGUCUUAGCACACGUUUCUGAUUUGCUGGUUGAGGGGGUAUAAAUAUUUUAGGGCAAUUUAUACAUACUUUCAUCUUCUGUCUUUCUUUCUUUUUUUUUUUUCUUUUUUUGAGACAGAGUGAGUGUAGUGGCAUGAUCUCCACUCGCUGCAACCUCUACCUCUCAGGUUCAAGUGAUUUUCCUGUCUCAGCCUUCUGAGUAGCUGAGACUACAGUUGUGUACCACUACACCCAGCUAAUUUUUGUAUUUUUAGUAGAGACGGAGUUUCACCACAUUGGCCAGGCUGGUCUCAAACUCCUGACUUGAGGUGAUCCGCCCACCUCGGCCUCCCAAAGUGCUGGGAUUACAGGUGUGAGUCACCAUACCCAGCCCAUAUCGUCAUCUUCUUGAGACUGUACUAAUUGGAACUACCUAACAACGUAGGAAACAUUUUUCUCAUUUUAUAAGAAAAAAACUUCCUAACAACCCAAGAGAGAAUGGGAGGCAGCAAGCUUUCUGUCAUGAGGCCUGCUGGAGUAUGGGUUAAAGCUAUGGUAUCGAUUCUUCUUCCCUCACUGACACUGAGCAUCAAUUAUGAUGGCCCAUAAAGGGGAAAGUUGCCUUCUCUUGCCCUUAGUUGGACAUCACAGAGCUAGAUUGCUUGGUGGAGGCAAUAACUUAAGAAAUAAAUAACUGCAUUGGGGUCAGCAUUGGGCUAAUGACCUUUAAGGUUUCCUCUAACCUUAAGGACCUAUGUAUGAUACUUACACAUAUGAAGUUUCUGUGCUGAUUCUAACAUAGCCUGUACUCUGCUUGUCUGUGCUCUCAGCAGGUAGGGACGUGGUGAGCUCCUCAAGGGAUUUUCCCAAGGUACAAAUCUCUUUGGGGUAGACAAGUUUCUCCCAGAGGAUGAAAAGUGUGUCCUAAAAUGAGCAUCAUGUUGUUCAGCUCUUCUCUAUCGUUGCUGACCUUCCAUCUAGUCAUUUUAUUAGUUGCUGUAUUAGUCCAUUCUCAUACUGCUAUAAAGAACUUCCUGAGACUGGGUAAUUUAUGAAGAAGAGAGGUUUAGUUGACUCACAGUUCCCAGGCUUGGCAGGAAACAUGACUGGGAAGCCUCAGGAAACUUACAAUCAGGGCAGAAGGCAAAGGGGAAGCAGGCACAAUCUUCACCUGGUGGAGCAGGAGACAGCAAGAGAGCAAAGGGGGAAGUGCCACACACUUCUAAACCAUCAGAUCUCAUGAGAACUCACUCACUAUCAUGAGAACAGCAAGGGGGAAAUCACCCCACGAUUCAAUCACCUCCCAGCAGCCCCCUCCUCAAUUCGACGUGGGAUGUGCUGGGGGACACAAAUCCAAACCAUAUCAGUUGCUUAGAGGGGGAUGUUGAAGUACAGUCCCCAACUGUAAUUGUGGGUUUAUCUAUUUCUCCUUUCAACUCUUAUUAUUUUUUGCUUUUGAUUUUGCUGUUGUUUGGUGCAUACACACAGAAUUGUUAUGGCUUCCUGGCAAAUUGAUUCUUUUAUCAUUAUAUAAUGUUCCUCUUUGUCUCUAGUAAAUUUCUUUGCUCUGAAUCUACCUUAUCAGAUGUAAAUGUAGCUACUACUGAUUUUUUAAAAUUAAUAUUAUAUUCUUUUAUCCUACAUAUGUUAUUGAAUUUCAAAUGAGUCUCUUAUAAGCAGCAUAUAUUUGGAUCCUUUUUAAAUUCACUCUGCCAAUUUCUGUCUUU